GACGAACGCUGGCGGCGUGCUUAACACAUGCAAGUCGAACGGAAAGGCCCUGCUUUUGUGGGGUGCUCGAGUGGCGAACGGGUGAGUAACACGUGAGUAACCUGCCCUUGACUUUGGGAUAACUUCAGGAAACUGGGGCUAAUACCGGAUAGGAGCUCCUGCUGCAUGGUGGGGGUCGGAAAGUUUCGGCGGUUGGGGAUGGACUCGCGGCUUAUCAGCUUGUUGGUGGGGUAGUGGCUUACCAAGGCUUUGACGGGUAGCCGGCCUGAGAGGGUGACCGGCCACAUUGGGACUGAGACACGGCCCAGACUCCUACGGGAGGCAGCAGUGGGGAAUAUUGCACAAUGGGCGGAAGCCUGAUGCAGCAACGCCGCGUGCGGGAUGACGGCCUUCGGGUUGUAAACCGCUUUCGCCUGUGACGAAGCGUGAGUGACGGUAAUGGGUAAAGAAGCACCGGCUAACUACGUGCCAGCAGCCGCGGUGAUACGUAGGGUGCGAGCGUUGUCCGGAUUUAUUGGGCGUAAAGGGCUCGUAGGUGGUUGAUCGCGUCGGAAGUGUAAUCUUGGGGCUUAACCCUGAGCGUGCUUUCGAUACGGGUUGACUUGAGGAAGGUAGGGGAGAAUGGAAUUCCUGGUGGAGCGGUGGAAUGCGCAGAUAUCAGGAGGAACACCAGUGGCGAAGGCGGUUCUCUGGGCCUUUCCUGACGCUGAGGAGCGAAAGCGUGGGGAGCGAACAGGCUUAGAUACCCUGGUAGUCCACGCUGUAAACGGUGGGUACUAGGUGUGGGGUCCAUUCCACGGGUUCCGUGCCGUAGCUAACGCUUUAAGUACCCCGCCUGGGGAGUACGGCCGCAAGGCUAAAACUCAAAGGAAUUGACGGGGCCCCGCACAAGCGGCGGAGCAUGCGGAUUAAUUCGAUGCAACGCGUAGAACCUUACCUGGGUUUGACAUGGAUCGGGAGCGCUCAGAGAUGGGUGUGCCUCUUUUGGGGUCGGUUCACAGGUGGUGCAUGGCUGUCGUCAGCUCGUGUCGUGAGAUGUUGGGUUAAGUCCCGCAACGAGCGCAACCCUUGUUCACUGUUGCCAGCACGUUAUGGUGGGGACUCAGUGGAGACCGCCGGGGUCAACUCGGAGGAAGGUGGGGAUGACGUCAAGUCAUCAUGCCCCUUAUGUCCAGGGCUUCACGCAUGCUACAAUGGCUGGUACAGAGAGUGGCGAGCCUGUGAGGGUGAGCGAAUCUCGGAAAGCCGGUCUCAGUUCGGAUUGGGGUCUGCAACUCGACCUCAUGAAGUCGGAGUCGCUAGUAAUCGCAGAUCAGCAACGCUGCGGUGAAUACGUUCCCGGG
This 1343-nucleotide ribosomal RNA is filed under the name uncultured bacterium. RNAcentral describes it as "16S ribosomal RNA". It matches the Rfam family "Bacterial small subunit ribosomal RNA", at positions 28 to 1378 of the family's 1533-position model. The record is from RNAcentral.